CUCUUUCAGUCCUUGGGACUGCAGCAGGAUUUUCUGCAUUCCUGCCACGCUCCUGCUGGGAAGCAUUUGUCACGUGGAGUCCCACCACCACUGCUUUCAAGCCAAGUCCAAAAUCCUUCUGGGAACAAAGUGACCAGAGGCACCACUCUCCUGGCACCUUCCCAAGGCAGAUCAGAGCUCCUGGGUGCCACAGCAGGGACAGGAACGUGGAGUCCUGCUGUGCUUGUCCUAGAUGUGUGCAGCGAGAUCUUUGAUGUUGCUCCCAUGAAGAUGUGAGUGCACUCAGAAGUGCUGGAUAACAGAGCCAGGUACUGAGAUUGUGCCUGACACCAGAGUGACUUUGCCUCUGUGGGUUGGCCUCAGUGAGGGCCAAGUGCAAGCACAGCCACAGGAACAGCACAGAGGCUGUCUCCCUGCAGAGAGGAACAGAAUGUGCCACAGUGAGUGAUGAAAGGAGGAAAGUGCCUCCUUCAGGACAGUGCCAUGACAGAGGGGAUCCAGGAGAAACUUAUCAAGAUUCAGAAUGGAAGGAUGAUGGCCACAGGGGACAGCAAGCUGCAUUCUGGAGAAUGUUCUUAAUGUCUUGGUCUGAAAAGACAGGUGUCUGCUAAGGAAGGCAGGAGCCUUCCUUGAAAUGGAAAACAUAA
Zonotrichia albicollis (white-throated sparrow) is the source of this 647-nucleotide non-coding RNA. The record is from RefSeq and is a predicted model, not a curated record. Lineage: Eukaryota; Metazoa; Chordata; Aves; Passeriformes; Passerellidae.